UCCCUUCGGCCUGCUCUAGAGCAUAGGCUGUUCUGAAUCUCCAGCUUGCAGUAUUCACUAUAUCCACCUUCUGCCAAAAGACCACACGGAGCAACUUCAAAUCACCUAGAGCCAGGCGAGAUCAGAGCAUGGGGUGGGAAGUACAAUGCUGAUUAGGGCUUGUCAUGAUAAAGAAGCUUAAACUGAAUUAAUUAGGCUUCCUCCUAGUGUGAAGCACAGCAUCCUGGGAGACGAUGCCUAUUUAAAACAAAGACCCACUCCAGUGAAAUCCA
Molecule: long non-coding RNA, 272 nt
Organism: Dermochelys coriacea (leatherback sea turtle)
Lineage: Eukaryota; Metazoa; Chordata; Testudines; Dermochelyidae
Exons: 4
Source: RefSeq, a predicted model, not a curated record